This 1232-nucleotide long non-coding RNA is filed under the name Drosophila guanche. Lineage: Eukaryota; Metazoa; Arthropoda; Insecta; Diptera; Drosophilidae. The record is from RNAcentral.
AGAUGGAUAAUUAUUUUUUUUUGUCAUUAAACCCCGAAUUAUGGUCUAAAACAUAUAUUAUUAUUCUUUUUUUUGUAUAAUUUAAGAAAUUAAAUGUAAUGUUAAACUUUAAACCCUUUUUAUGUUAGCGUCGGAAAGUGUAAAUAAUUAAUUUUAUUGUGUACAAAAUCGGAUAACAGACGGCAGUAAAGGCGCGCCGGAACAUAUUCAUUUUUUCGCCCCAAGAAUUUCAUUAAAAAACAAACGUAAAGAAUAGAAAAGAUGGUAGGGGGUAGACGAGAGGGAAAAUUGUGAAACUGCAACUGGAAAAACUGAGAGAAUAAAAUUGUUAAGAGUCAAGCUUUAAAAACAACAAAACAUACACACACUUUUACACACAAAAAACACACACAAACAACACACACACGCACGCGCGCAGAGCUCUUAUGUGUAAGGGUUUUGUUUUUGUUUUUUCUUUUGGAAAAUGGAAAAUUGAAAAUUGAAAAUUCUUGUGAUAUACAAAACAAAAAUACAAAAUUUAAUAAAAAAAAACAACAAACAAAUUUUAAACAAAACUGUUGAAAACUGAAGCUUAAUGAAUUAUAGAGAUAACUACAAAAAUAUAUUUACACCCAACAAACCAUAACAACAAAUGAGAGCCAGAACAUUAGAUUUAUAUACAUAUAUACAAAAAUACAUUACUAUAUCUGAAUAGUUACGGAAUUACAUUUAAAAAAUUCAUAACAAUUAUAUACAACAUACAUAAAUGCAUACAUAUAUACAAUAUAUUUAUAUACAACGACAGAAGAAAACAAUUAAGAUGGAAAUGUUUCUUUUUUUUUUCUGAGUGCAUCAAUGGGAUAUCUGUGUAAGGAAGCCUAUUUAAAUGCCUAGAUAUAACAUAUUAAAUAUAUAAAAAUCAGUAUUUUUAUAUAUUAAACAUUUGACAAGAGAGCAACGAUAGCAACAAUAACAAUAACAAUAACAAUAAUUGUAACAUUUGUGACCACAUGCAGCAACAAACAGAAGAAAGAGCCUGAAAAACUACCAACAAAAUAAUGAAAAAUGGAUUAAUUAAAAAUUAGUAACUGAAAAAAAACAAUUCAGCUGGUUUUCUCAUUGGUGGUAGGCCACUCCCACUGUGGCCUGGAAAAAUUCACAAAUCAAAGCUUAAAAUUCAUUCCAAGAGCAUCUUCAACUGAUGGGCCAGUCUAUUCAAUUCAUGGAAUUCUUUCUAUAAGUAUUUGUAGAUU